RNAcentral lists this ribosomal RNA (175 nucleotides) under uncultured bacterium. RNAcentral describes it as "partial 16S ribosomal RNA". It matches the Rfam family "Bacterial small subunit ribosomal RNA", at positions 338 to 505 of the family's 1533-position model. The record is from RNAcentral.
CCUACGGGAGGCAGCAGUGGGGAAUAUUGCACAAUGGGCGCAAGCCUGAUGCAGCCAUGCCGCGUGUAUGAAGAAGGCCUUCGGGUUGUAAAGUACUUUCAGCGGGGAGGAAGGGAGUAAAGUUAAUACCUUUGCUCAUUGACGUUACCCGCAGAAGAAGCACCGGCUAACUCCG